CAAUAGCGUAUAUUUAAGUUGUUGCAGUUAAAAAGCUCGUAGUUGGAUUUCGGAUGGGACUUGCCGGUCCGUCGUUUCGAUGUGCACUGGCCAGUCCUAUCUUGUUGUCGGGGACUAGCUCCUGGGCUUCACUGUCCGGGACUAGGAGCUGACGAGGUUACUUUGAGUAAAUUAGAGUGUUCAAAGCAAGCCUACGCUCUGAAUACAUUAGCAUGGAAUAACACGAUAGGACUCUGGCUUAUCUUGUUGGUCUGUGGGACCAGAGUAAUGAUUAAGAGGGACAGUCGGGGGCAUUCGUAUUUCAUUGUCAGAGGUGAAAUUCUUGGAUUUAUGAAAGACGAACUUCUGCGAAAGCAUUUGUCAAGGAUGUUUUCAUUA
This 378-nucleotide ribosomal RNA is filed under the name uncultured eukaryote. Its description in RNAcentral is "partial 18S ribosomal RNA". It matches the Rfam family "Eukaryotic small subunit ribosomal RNA", at positions 592 to 975 of the family's 1831-position model. The record is from RNAcentral.